Molecule: ribosomal RNA, 581 nt
Filed under: Halorubrum distributum
Lineage: Archaea; Methanobacteriati; Methanobacteriota; Halobacteria; Halobacteriales; Haloferacaceae
Description: partial 16S ribosomal RNA
Rfam family: Archaeal small subunit ribosomal RNA
Source: RNAcentral
CCCAAGUGCACAGGCAUAGCGCUGUGCUUUUCGGUACCGUAAGGUGGUACCAGAUAAGGGCUGGGCAAGACCGGUGCCAGCCGCCGCGGUAAUACCGGCAGCCCAAGUGAUGGCCGAUCUUAUUGGGCCUAAAGCGUCCGUAGCUGGCCGCGCAAGUCCAUCGGGAAAUCCACCUGCUCAACAGGUGGGCGCCCGGUAGAAACUGCGUGGCUUGGGACCGGAAGGCGCGACGGGUACGUCCGGGGUAGGAGUGAAAUCCCGUAAUCCUGGACGGACCGCCGAUGGCGAAAGCACGUCGCGAGGACGGAUCCGACAGUGAGGGACGAAAGCCAGGGUCUCGAACCGGAUUAGAUACCCGGGUAGUCCUGGCCGUAAACAAUGUCUGCUAGGUGUGGCUCCCACUACGAGUGGGUGCUGUGCCGUAGGGAAGCCGCUAAGCAGACCGCCUGGGAAGUACGUCCGCAAGGAUGAAACUUAAAGGAAUUGGCGGGGGAGCACUACAACCGGAGGAGCCUGCGGUUUAAUUGGACUCAACGCCGGACAUCUCACCAGCAUCGACUGUAAUAAUGACGACCAGGUUG